AAGCUUCUCCCGUUUUCUCUCCCUCUCUCAUGAAGACACGAACACUAACUCCCGAUCUUGGUCACCCUCUUUCUCUCUUCCUCUCUUGUAUCGUUUAUGUCAUUAACAAGAUGACGAGGCUACUAUAUAGUUCAUGGUUUGACGCCAACCGUCAGCUCAAGGCUAUGGCAGCGACGGAGCACGGCAAACAUGCUACACACAGUAGAGCCCCUAUAUGCAAAUAUCCAUCUAUUCUUAUUUUUCUAUGAAUCGAUGGUCUAGUCCUCAUUUGUUGACCUUGCUGCAGAAGACCAUGCCGCUUGGAGUUGUGAGGUAAUUGUGAACCUAUUUAGUGCUUAAGGUUUGAUUAUUAAAGAAACAAGUUUGAUUGAUAAUGGAUUUUGGUUUUGUCUUUUGGUUUCUGGUGAUGAUGUAAACUGGAAUUGAUAUGGGUCAUGAGUUCCUUGGAUUGAGAAGCAAGACAAGGAACAGAAGAAGAAAGGUACCUUUUGAUUGAAUGAAUGAAAUUGAGAGAGAGACCAUAACAAUGGUAAGUCCGUAUCUUUUGAUUGGAAUUGGUUCCAUAAGCAAUUGAUUCAAUCGUUGAUUAUUUUGUUUUUAAUGAAAACAGAAGAAGGUUCGAGUUCUCAAUCUAGAACAAGACUACAUGCUUUGAUACAAUAGACAUCCUAUUGAAAAUUGAAGUGAGAGUCUUGUUGCAUGUUCUUCAAAUAUAAAGGUUUUGUUUAUAUUGAAUUAUGGUGGUAUGGUCUUGGUCAUGAGUUAAAGUAAAUAUUGUUCUACAAUUUCUUUUGGACGCAAGUGAAUUAUGGAUGUGAGAUUAGCCAUAUAAAUAUAUGGUAUAUUUAGAUUACAGAGUCUAUUGUGAAUUGGUGAUCACGUUAUGAGGUACCAAAUUGGGUUAAGUUUCCAUUUGAAUUUUGUAACAGAUUUGGUUAUGUUGUGAAUCUUGAAUGGUUAAGUUAAUGGAAAUCAAUUUGGCUCAUGCGAGCUUGUAUAAUUUUUCUAAGGGUCUUUGCUAAUAAUUCU
RNAcentral lists this long non-coding RNA (1029 nucleotides) under Fragaria vesca (wild strawberry). RNAcentral describes it as "long non-coding RNA (FVES_LNC001450)". Lineage: Eukaryota; Viridiplantae; Streptophyta; Magnoliopsida; Rosales; Rosaceae. The record is from RNAcentral.